AUACAAGAGCUUUCCUCUAUUAGCCAAUCUCAGGACCGGCAGAUGCUGUGUUGCAUGUAUGUGAAUGCACUUUUUCUCUUACUGCACUUAUGUGUUAAUGUGGCAGUCUGUCCACGACACACUUCUCUCAGGACAAAUAAAGUCAUCUUGGUGUUCCUUCAUACCGUGUAGCAGAGAAACGCUAACAUGUGGCUGCACAGUGUGUUGUUUAUUAGAAAGCAUCAGGACUGAGUCACACAUGAGAGACUGCAAUGUGAACGCUGACCAAAAGAUGUCACAUGCUGUUUCAGGUCGAUCUAUCUACAGGUCUGGCAAUUGAAGAGGCAUGCUAUGCCCAGGUGAUACCAACUAAAGACCGACUGGAGGGUUUGGCUGCAUUCAAGGAGAAGAGGCGUCCUCACUAUAAAGGGGAGUGAGGCCACACACUCUGCUUUCACUCUCCUACUGUUCACUGCUUCUAACAUAUUUAUGGGUGACACUGUACCCGUCAACACAUUAACCUGUACAGUACCCAGAGGAUGUCUGUCUGAGUGCGGGACAUUAGGGUCGAUCCUGACUCGUGUUUUUGCCACUGAUUUAAAUGUCAGAGUAAAGCACUUGCUAGGUGUCAACUACCCCUUAAGGAUUCUGAGAAACCAAGCAAACUAACCAAGCACUGACCCAGCUUACAACUCUUAAAGCUUCUGCAAUCUAAACAUGAAUGACUUGGUUGGUUGUUGGCCGUUUAGUAAUUAACAGUAGCCUUCUUGGCUAGUCAACCAGUCAGAGAGCCAUUGACAUUUCCAUAAUCAGUGAAUGGUUUAUUUGCUCUUUGUCUUUUAUUUUGGUAGAAAUGUACCACUGUGUUCACAACACUAACAGCUGUAUGCCCCAGAGGAGCCUGCAUAAAGUCCUAAGACACUAGAUUUUCCCUCAGUUGAGUAAUGUCCAGAGAGGUAGGAUUUGACAGUUUCUGACUUUUGUGCCUCUGAAAAAGUCGUAUCAACAAUCAAUAGACGUUUCAUUUUUCUGUAGAUCAACAUCAGAAUCAUUUUAAUAUGCUAUGAUGACAGAAGAACAUUCUACAUAUACUAAGGAUCAUUCAGCAUCCCCCCCCCCCCCAGAGGCUUACCCGGCCUCAAAAAGAACCAGGUUCAGGUCUGAGCAAAGCUGUAUGUAAACGGUGGUAACUUCAGUCAGUCACUCCAAAGCUGCUGUUCAUCUACAGUGACUCCAGUCUGAACUGAAAUUUGGUUCAAAUCCAAAAAAUUCAAAACUCAAUCUUGACUUACAUUUCUUUAUUAUUUUUUUUAAGCCCAGACAAGCUCCCAGUAGUUUGGACACACAGUCUCAUUCAAUAGUUUUUCCUUUAUUUUCUUCACUGUAAAGUAACAUGGAAGUAAUCCAAACUAUGAAAUAACACAUGGAAUUAUGUGGUAAACAUAAAACGUGUAAAGAAAGUCAAAUCUGUUUUAUAUUUUAGAUUAUUUUAUAUCUUUGAUGACAGCUCCGCACUCUCUUCAUUCUCAGUCAGCUUCAUGAGGUCGUCACCUGGAACACAAUAUAUGCUGAGCACUUGUUGAAAAUCAAAAGAAUCUAAAAUAUAAAACUUUAAUAAUUUUCAGUUUACACAUUUCAUGUUAUUUCAUAGAUUUGAUGUCUUCUAAUGUCAGUGUUCAAAGUAAGAAAGAAAAAACAUAGAAGAAGGUGUGUCCAUACCUUUGACACGUACUGUGUUUAUUUACUUGAUGGUUUGUCUUUUCCAGCCCUGCUCAGAUUUCAGGUGUUCUAACGUCGUAGUCCUCACAGACACCUCGACACGAACACAAACAGCCAUCAGUCACAAAGCACUUGAGUUAAUUUCCUCCAAGUUGCCUUUUCUUCUGUACUUUACAGUAUGUGUUUCAGUCUUCAUUGAUUUAGGCAGCAGGAUGUUUUUGUAAACCUCUAUCAAGCCUCAAAUUGCUUUUCUGAACUAGUCACUAAAGGAAUGAGCCACCGUGGAGAUGAUGAUAUUUUAGUAAGUGAAGUGAGCCUGUGAGCCACCUUCAGAAUGGAACAGGAGGCCAGAUCACACACUUAUAAAUAAAACUUCUGUCACAGAAA
This is a long non-coding RNA of Larimichthys crocea (large yellow croaker), 2085 nucleotides long. RefSeq lists it as uncharacterized. NCBI's taxonomy places the organism in Eukaryota, Metazoa, Chordata, Actinopteri, Sciaenidae. The record is from RefSeq and is a predicted model, not a curated record. The transcript has 2 exons.